GAUACAGAAGAGCGGGGACACCAAACUGUCAGGCAGCGGUGGCUCGGCUUGGUAGGAUAAACCUUAUUUUCUGCUCUGUUUGACACUGGAAAAAAGUCCAGUGAAAGCCCAACAGGAGCAAGAUGGGAUCUGCCUCCUCAACUUACCGGCCCAAGUGUAUUUAUUUGGAUAUUGAUGGAAGAAUUCAAAAGGUGAUCUUCAGUAAAUAUUGCAACUCCAGAGAUAUCAUGGACCUCUUCUGCAUUGCAACAGGGUUACCAAGGAACACAACAAUCUCCCUUUUGACAUCAGACAAUUGUAUGGUAUCCAUUGAUCCGACAAUGCCUGCAAACUCAGAGAGGU
Pterocles gutturalis (yellow-throated sandgrouse) is the source of this 342-nucleotide long non-coding RNA. RefSeq lists it as uncharacterized. The record is from RefSeq and is a predicted model, not a curated record. Lineage: Eukaryota; Metazoa; Chordata; Aves; Pterocliformes; Pteroclidae. The transcript is spliced from 3 exons.